GGGGGACCUUCGGGCCUCUUGCCAUCGGAUGUGCCCAGAUGGGAUUAGCUUGUAGGUGGGGUAACGGCUCACCUAGGCGACGAUCCCUAGCUGGUCUGAGAGGAUGACCAGCCACACUGGAACUGAGACACGGUCCAGACUCCUACGGGAGGCAGCAGUGGGGAAUAUUGCACAAUGGGCGCAAGCCUGAUGCAGCCAUGCCGCGUGUAUGAAGAAGGCCUUCGGGUUGUAAAGUACUUUCAGCGAGGAGGAAGGUGUUGUGGUUAAUAACCGCAGCGAUUGACGUUACUCGCAGAAGAAGCACCGGCUAACUCCGUGCCAGCAGCCGCGGUAAUACGGAGGGUGCAAGCGUUAAUCGGAAUUACUGGGCGUAAAGCGCACGCAGGCGGUCUGUCAAGUCGGAUGUGAAAUCCCCGGGCUCAACCUGGGAACUGCAUCCGAGACUGGCAGGCUAGAGUCUUGUAGAGGGGGGUAGAAUUCCAGGUGUAGCGGUGAAAUGCGUAGAGAUCUGGAGGAAUACCGGUGGCGAAGGCGGCCCCC
RNAcentral lists this ribosomal RNA (540 nucleotides) under Citrobacter sp. RNAcentral's name for it is "bacterial SSU rRNA". It matches the Rfam family "Bacterial small subunit ribosomal RNA", at positions 194 to 729 of the family's 1533-position model. The record is from RNAcentral. Lineage: Bacteria; Pseudomonadati; Pseudomonadota; Gammaproteobacteria; Enterobacterales; Enterobacteriaceae.